AGUGAACGCUGGCGGUAGGCCUAACACAUGCAAGUCGAACGGCAGCACAGUAAGAGCUUGCUCUUACGGGUGGCGAGUGGCGGACGGGUGAGGAAUACAUCGGAAUCUACUUUUUCGUGGGGGAUAACGUAGGGAAACUUACGCUAAUACCGCAUACGACCUACGGGUGAAAGCAGGGGAUCUUCGGACCUUGCGCGAUUGAAUGAGCCGAUGUCGGAUUAGCUAGUUGGCGGGGUAAAGGCCCACCAAGGCGACGAUCCGUAGCUGGUCUGAGAGGAUGACCAGCCACACUGGAAAUGAGACACGGUCCAGACUCCUAGGGGAGGCAGCAGUGGGGAAUUUUGGAAAAGGGGGGGAGGCCUGAUCAAGCCAACCCGGGGGGGGGAAGAAGGCCUUCGGGUUGUAAAGCCCUUUUGUUGGGAAAAAAAAGCAGCAGGUUAAUACCCCGUUUUUGUGACGGUACCAAAAGAAAAAGCACCGGCUAACUUCG
RNAcentral lists this ribosomal RNA (490 nucleotides) under uncultured bacterium. Its description in RNAcentral is "partial 16S ribosomal RNA". It matches the Rfam family "Bacterial small subunit ribosomal RNA", at positions 29 to 505 of the family's 1533-position model. The record is from RNAcentral.